GGAGUUGUAGAGAACAAUAAAGUCUCCCCUGAUUCUCUAGACUGAAUAAUCCCAGCUCCUUCAUCUGCUCCCAAUAAGAAUUGUGCUUCAGAUCCUCCACCAGUUUCAUUUUCCUUCGCUGGCUGUGCCCCAGGGCCUUGAUGUCUUUCUUAUAGUGAGGGGCCCAAAACUGAACACAGUCCUCGAGUACUUCUUUGCCACCUGCACACACUGCUUGCUGAUGUUCACUGGCUGUUAGCUAACAUCCUCAGAUCCUUUUACUCUGUGGUACUCAAGCAGCAAGAGAAAAGCUGAGUGGGAUCUGUCGCUAGUCCUCAACGAAGGAGAUGUCUAGUCCAUGGCUUUUCAUCUGGUAUAAAGUGCAUUAUCUCUCUUAUUUGUAUAAAGGGAGAAUGUCUGCCAGUAUCCUCUGUUCAUUUUUUUCAAAGUCUCUGCCUGAGUUCUGGACAAAAGGAAUGUGUUUGAGGCCCAGCCCUGGUCCUUGUAGACUGAGAGCACACAUGGCUUUCCGACCCACAGCACUGAAAAACUGAGAGGCUCUUUCAGUUCAGUGGAUAGGAGGAAAGACACAAAGCCCUUCUAAGAAUUUUACGGAAGUUUCUCAACAUUUUAAAACUCACAUGGGGAUUUUGCGGUCUCAUUACAAUUGAGUUUUCCGGUAGCAUUUAGCAAAUUAUGUCACCUUUCACAUCUCAAGAAGACAAUGGUCAAAAAGAGGAGCUGGCAAAGAGUUCAGGAAGGCUGAGGUCAUGCGAUGACUGAUGUCUGCAUCUGAUCCUCAGAGAAGCAAAGCACAGCAGAGGAGUGGUGGGCAGAUGUCCUAGCCAAAGGCUUGUAUGAAACAUUCACAUUAGAAAGAUCCCUUCCAUGUGUUUUGGAGAGUCAAUGGGAGCUCAGAAGAUCUGAACAGGCAGAUGUGAGGCCAUGGAGUGGAGUGACAGCUGACAUGGCAAAGCCAGCCUGCUGCUAGAGGUUUUGUCCCUCCCAUGGCUGGAGCUGUCUCACCUCAUAGCCUUCAUGCCAGUACAGGGCAUGGCCUUCCUUGUGGCACACAGGAUUCAACUCAAAAUGCUUAUGAUCUUUGUGAGGAUGCAAACAUGCCUGUGAAUCAAUUAACAUACCACAGGCAUAGUGUCAUAGGAUUGAGGCCAUGUAAUGUGUGAAGCAGGAGGACAAUAAACUGAGAGACUGCGUAUGUAUUUUUGUACUAACAGCAACAUUAUCUUCGAUAAGAAUGUCCCCUUCUUUGUCCUAUGGUGAGUGUAUGGCAUGCUCCUGAAGCAUAAAUGAGAGUAAAUCAUUAAAGCAUAAAUCAUUCUCAGUGCCUCACCGUGACCUGUGGCUGCACCCAUGUGAAUGUUUCGUGAUUAUUUUUCAAGGUUGUGGUGAAAAGUACAAACUCGUUUGUUUUCCAAAGAAAGUAAACUGUAAGAUCUGCUCUAGGUAGGUACCUAUCUAACCCCCUCCAGGUCUUGCUAGAAAUCGUGAGGCUUUGAAUCAGUAGCUGGUCCGUAGGACCACUUUGAACCAAAGCCAUGAUGGGGAACAUUGAGUCCAACCAACUUGACUGAACUUAGGCUGAAGUAGAAACUCCAAGGUGGAGAGGGAUUUUUUUUAGGGGAAAGAAACCUUUCGUGCUUUCCCUAAAUCAGAAAAGAAGUGGCAGAGGAGCCUCCAAACUGCUUGUAAAUGCACAAUUUUAACUUGCCAUCUGGAGUUUUCAGUGAUGAAUUUUCCCUAUGAGAAAAAACGAGAAAGAGCAAGGAAACCUAACCAGGCUUGAACAAUAAAGUAGCAGGAGCAGCUGGUAGAGUCUUGUGAUCAGAAGAUACAGACUGCCUUAUAGGAACAAAAAGAAAAUAAUCCUGAUGUCUAUCACCUAUUGAGGAGAAGGAUCAAAACAAAACAACCCAGGAUAUGAACUGUCUUCAUACAUAUGAUUUACUGAUGUAGUGGUGAUGGAGGUAUGUGGGCACAUAUACUACAAUGCCACUGGCAAAGCAGUGGAGGCCGCUAAGGAAGAAGAGCUCUAGCACAACGUCUUUUGGGAAAAGGUCCCUUUCUUUGGGAGCUGAAUUGCAAUGUAGAUGGAUGAAGCCAGCUACUGUCUUAUUGACCUUUGAUAAAGGAAACGUCUUGUUCAAGUCCAACCACUUUGUUUGUUUGCAUGUUUUGCAGCUGCACAGCUUGGACAAUACUACCAGUUUAAAGCUAGAGGCAAGGUGAUCUUUCCUGUUUGCAUCAGCUGAUUUGUUUCUCACUGAGAAGAGAGACUGAGGAAUGACAGGCUGAUUCUAACUUAGAACAUAUGCCAGGACUGAUUUUGAGAACCUGAUUCACAGCUGAUUUCCAGAGUCAGGCAAAACAGACCUCAAGCACCAAUAUCGAUUCCUACUGAACCCAUUGCUGUGGGCUGCUGCUAAUAACCAGUUCUCGGCCCUUACUGAGAGAGAAGGAUUCUGGCAUUUCUCGAUCUGCUGCACUUUGGGACACUUAAAGACUAAGACCACUGGGAAGGAUGAGGAGGACUCUUAACAACGUUUCUCACAACAAAGGACUAAAUGAAGUGGAGUUAUUUCAUCUCAAAAGUGAGAAGAGUGAGGGGGAGGCUCUGGUACAUAAUCGCUUACAUGUCUGCAGUGAAUGUAGCAAGGUAAAGCAAGGAAGGUUCAAGUUUGAUAUUUGGAAAAACUCUCUUGACAAGUAUGUGGACGUCCUGGGUAAGUUGUUUUUAUCACGUAAAUUCCUUGCUACUGUAUAGAUAAGCAGGGUCAGAAACAGCCUUGAGUUGUCUGUUGGGAGACAAUUUAAGUUUCUCUUUUCCUAUAUCUGAAUAAUAGUUAAGGGUUUUUCUUCUUUUCUUUUUCUUCCCCCCCGCCCUCCCCCUCCAAAAAAACCUUGUAGUGAAAUAUUAAACUGUAUUAAAUACACUUUGUGUAUUUUAUGUAGUUUACUGUUGGGGCUCAGUAGGUCAGACUAGUUGGACUUGAUGAUCUUGAAGGUCUUUUCCAACCUAGAUUAUUCUAUGAAUGCAUAAUGCGAUGGAAUUGCCCGAAAACAGUACAUCUAUUUAAACAAACAGUCCCACUGUGAUUUGUUAACUGGGCAAUGUUGUUUUAUGUGAAAUUCUAAAUUUUAGAAGAAUUUUGUAUUUUAUCUAAAGACACAAAAUUACAAAUUUUUAACAUCUUCAAAAAGGUUUGGAGCAGACAACUCCAAGAAAUAUGUCUCUGUGCAGGGAUAGCUUUUCAGGACAUGACAGUCCUGAGAUAGCUUGUGAGAUCAGUCUCUUUGCCCCCACCAACCUGUCUGAACUUACAGAGAACACUCAGCAUACAAGUCUGAACAUUUAUAGUCCCUUGUGCUUUUCUAAUUGUUUCAAUUCAGACAUGUGCUUUUAUUUUUUAAGGCAAAAGAGCACACAUACAUUGAAUUAAUAAGGAUGUAAUAAUAAAGCUGAAUCACACUGCUCCAAUACACAUGGGCUACGAGUGUGCAAGGUUAGGAGUCCUGGGGUGCUUGGAGAGAACUGAUUUACAAAACUGCAGGGGCCUCGCUGUAGGCUGAUAAGUCAGGGUGCCAGGUCAGUGGUGAGAUAUCUUCUUUAAGUGUUAGCCAAAAUUUGUUGGCAGGCAGCAGAGAAGUGGAUAGAGGAUUCGAAGGUCAGAUGUUGUUCCAAGUUUGUCACAAGAAUGCAUUAGGGAACAACAAUAUGGGGGUGGACAGAGCUGAGACACCAGAUUUAAGCAGGAGCCUGGUGCCUGAUACCACUGUCUUUGCAGACAGGAGUGUGGAUAAAAGGACAUGAAACUAUGAUGCUGUUUUUCUUCAGGCUUCUGAAAUAAUGAAAUAACUGUAGGGCUGCCCAUAAAAUAUCAGUGCUAAUGCAGCUGUGUUCAGUACAGAAAACAUGAUGGCAUACUUCUGUACUUUUGAGGUGUGUCUGCUGAAUGUCACAUACAUUCCUGUCGGAAUCUACUUAAAAGCAGGACAGAUAUUAACAGCCUGAAAAGAAGGACAUAAAUACUGUAAAAGCUCUGCAUAAUCAGGCCAGAGGACCAUCUCAUCUCGUAGAUUUUCUCUCCAGCAGCAAGAAUAAAUAUAGCUGCUGUUUAGUGAGACCAUGCAAACAUGGUCACCUCCUCUGGUCUGCUCCCUUGUAUUACCCACUGUAGGAUGGCUUGCAGAUGUUAAAGGGUGCACUCCGUUCUGUUUUCUUUCUGUUUAUGGACCUACUAUCCACAACUUCGUGUGAUCCUUUCUGAAUCUGCCUAUGCUGUGUAUCUCCACAAUCUCCCAUGGUAGAAAGUUCCACAACAUUUAUAUGAGUUGCAGUGAGAUUUUUCAUGAGAGGGACCCCUGAGCAUGGCUUUCUGAUUUUCUUUCUAGAAAGUUUUUGUUCCUGAACCUCAGUCACUUCAAAAUAACAUCUUUGUAAUGUGGAGCCAAGGGUGAUAUUUUCCCUCUGCCUCUUAUUUGCACUUUAUAUAGACUUUCUGCUGGCUACUGAUGGCUCUGCAUGGAGACAAAAGCAUCAUCUCGGCCUUUCAUCUACUUUCUUCCAUCUGAUGUAUCUUAAAAUGGUGUCCAUGUUUCACCAUGUAGUAACAAAAUCAGUCAAGAUGUUAAUGAAACCGAUGCUCUCCCAUCUCUUUGGCAGGAGAAGCUGCUGCUGGAGCUCCCCGUGGCUCUCCCACAUCCUCCUUGCAGAAGGUUCUGAGCACAUUCUGCUGAUAAAAGUGUUGCAACCAGAGGGAAAAAGCUGAAGUUCGCAGUUUCUGCCUUAGGUUGAGACUCUGGCUCAUGAUUCUCCAGCAAAAGGCUGUAGCAGUUUAAGAUCCCACUGUUGUUCACCUGUUUGUGGCAUCUAUCCAUCACCCUUGAAGCUGAGAUGAAGCUGAAGAGGAUUGUGAUUAGAUGUUCAUCGUUCCAAUAUGCUGACACAAACCUGCAUUUAUUAAGAUUAUUAACGGUUUAAGUGAAUACCUGGCACCUUGACUAGCUGUGGCUGAGGGGCAGCACUCAGAUGUUAAGCCCUAUUAAAAACAGAGCAGUGUCUUCUUACACAGGAGAACUGGGAUGGUGAAAAUCCAGUACUUUCAGAGCAAGAUCUACUAGAAGAAAUCCAUUCAAGGCUUUUAAACUGUUCAUGGCCGUUUUUAAUAUGUAAUUGGCAGUUAGAAGACAUCAGUUUUGAUAAUGAAAUGUUUAAACUUAUGCUAUUAAUUUGGAUAUUCCUUUAAGAAAUACAAUACCAGAUUUUGACAUAGAAAGAAAAGACAACAGAGUGGAAAAAACAUCUAAAGAGGAAAUAACCACGGCUUUAGCAAUAGACAACAAUUCUAUAAAGAAUCCAAGGUUUUAUGUCAGACACUUCUGUACCGAUUGCUACCGCUCUUUGCUUGGACUGUUUGAUCUCAUUCCCAGGGAAAAGGGAUGAGUUAGGAACCUGAUUCCAGCAGUCUGCCCGCUGAUAUGAAGACCUGCUCUUCAUUUCAUUCCAUCAUAUACUGAAGAAAGACCUACCUUUGUCUGCCACACUCUUUGCACUCUGUUCAGGUAUCUCUUUCAGCCUGGCUUUGUGGUAAUAAAUGAACAGACUGCUCCUGGGGCAGCAGUGAGAGGCACAUUGUGCAGCAAAAGGCAGCAUCUCACAAAACAGAAGUAUCAAUGAAAAUCAAAUUGAAAAAGGAACAUUUCGACUGUCGGCUCACUUCCUGAUAAGGUCCCUGUAAUAGUUCUCUUAACAGACAAGAACAUGUGCAAGUGAUUUAACAUCUGUGAGCAAAAAUAUUCAGAAUAAUAGAUUUGAAUGAUAGAAAAGAAGCAAUGACACUACAUUUCCUAGAAGCAAUUGACUGAUUUUAAUUAAGCCAGAAAUUAGCCUGCUAGCUGAUGGCUCAUAAAACGUCUGGAAAUACCAGCUGCAAGCUAAUUGUGCACAUGUAAAUGUGGACACUGUCCUCAUGGUGAAUUUUCAAAUUAAUCAUGGACACAUGGGAUAAGGCAGGCUGCUUGUGGGGGAUGAAAGCAGGGAGGGGCAGGGGGCCUUCUGCUGAACCUGGUUGUUCUGCGUGCUGCAGCUGCGCUGCUGGGACAUUUGCCACAGACAGAAAAACUGCUCCGCACUGACUUGAAAAACCUCCUAGCAGAACCCAGAGAUUAGGCUGUCCUGCUGUGCAAGAGGAAGCAUGCAUGCUUUUCAUGGGCUUGAGUAGUUCCAUCACAUCAGGACAGUUGCCAUCACUAUGCUCUGUGAACGCCUGGUGUUUGUGCGUUAGCUUUGUUUCAACAGGUUGAUGCUGAUGGUUGCCCAUACAUGCACUUUUCCUGCAUUGUUGUACAAGUAGUCCAGGUCACAGUCCUGAAAGAACUUCUUGGUAAUGCUUCUUCAUGCAGCCACUUUCCAAGAAUAUCACACUGUUGAUAACAAACGAAGUUCUGGUUCUUGCCAGAAGAGUGUAGGAUGUGGUGACAGAGUGACAGCAGCACUGCUGCCAAUACAGAUGCCAUUCAUUGCCUUUGCCUUCAAGAGAAGGUGUGUAGCUUGCUUUCAAUGGGCACAGGCUGACUUGACAGCCCAGCAACUGAGUGAGAUACCUGCCAGGGCUAAGGGGAGACCUAAAAGCAUCAAAGAGCCAAGAGUGACACAAGUUACGCGAGCCAGCAGUGUGCAGUUGCAGCCUAGAAGACCAACAGUACCCUGGGUUGCAUCAGAAGAGCGGUGGUCAGCAGGGAGAGGGAGGGGAUUGUCCUCCUCUGCUCUGCCCUCGUGGGGACCAAACUGCAGCACUGCAUCCUGGCCUGGGGCCCACAGCAGAAAAACAGGGAGCUGUUGGAGUGGGUCCAGAAGAGAGCCAUGAAAAUAGUCAGGUCUGAAGCUCCUCUCCUAUGAAGACAGACUGAGGGAGCUGGACUUGUUCAACCUGGAGAAUGCUCUCACUGUGGUCGUCCAGGAGUUAAAUGAGGAGUGAGACAAACUCUUUACACAGUUUGAUAUUGAUAGGACAAAGGGAGAAUUAGUUUAGUUUUAAACUAAAAGAGAGGGAAUUUAGCUUAGAUACUAGGAAAUUCUUCACUCGGAGGGUAGUAAGGUUCUACACAGAGAAGUUGUGGGUACCCCAUCCCUUGAGGUGCUCUAGGCCAGGUUGGAUGGGGCCCUGGGCAGCCUGAUCCAGUGGGUGGCAGCCCUGCCCAUGGCAUGGGGUUGGAACUACAUGGGCUUUAAGGCCGCUUCGAACUCAAGUCAUUCUGUGAUCCUAUGAAAGAUAUUUUUUCACCUGGUAAGCCCCAGGCAGAGCUAUCAGUGAAUUCUUUAUUGAAAAUCAGGGAUCAUCAAAUCUGAGUAUGAAGGAAGUCUAGGCUUUGUGCACAGAAAUGCAUUGCUAAGGAAAAAACGAAGCAUUUGGACUGCAGGUUGCACAGCUCAGAUACAAUAGUUCACAAAGCUCUGAAAUAGAAUAAAACUUUCUGGAAGAAACUUGAUGAAACACCCUUUUGUGUAGCUAACUUGUGCUGCCUCUCUUUAUGUAAAGAAUAAAGAACUGGGUGGGAGCCCUUUAGGGCUGAACUAUUCAAGAGCCACUGCCUGUGAAUUUUGUUAGGAUGUUUUGCAUUAACAUCACUCUGAGGCAGAAUAAUGGAACUGGAGCAGUGGAGAGAAGAAAAGAGUUGCUUCGGGGAGCACUGAUAAAGUCUGAAUAUACAGAGAAGUUAGCAGGGAUUAAUGCUAAAGAAAAAAAUUCUGUGGAAGUGCAAAAGGUUGCUGGUUACCACCUUGGAAGAGAAGGCAUCAGAGGAAGAAAGCAGGAGAUGACUUGCAGGGCUGAAGGAAAUUUUGUUGAGUCUCUGGGAUAAACUGAGCCCAAGAUGUGCCAGAUGUGAAGAGCAGGCUGUGAAAUGAGGCAUUGGUGUGGCAGGCACUGUUUUUACCAGAUGUGGACCAACUUCAGAGCAGAAGGAACAAUACUUAUAGAGAUAGUUAGAAACAGUUGGUCUAUUCAACUCCUCUUCAGGGAGUGUUCAGUAUCCACUAUGCACAGCUUGGACAUAAAGACUGUUUUUACAGAGGGGAAACCUGGCCAAAUGGUGUGCUGAAUGGUGUGCUGCAGCAGGGUUCCUAAGAACGAAGACAGUGUAGACAUCUCCGUGGCAGUCGGAAAAUCUUCUGUUACCAUCACUUUUUCACUUAGUCCAACUAACAGCAGUCAGUUUAGCAGAACAGAGGUUUCCAGCCCUGCAAAUGUUUGCUGGAGAUGUCAUUGAGAUGAGGCAAUGUAUCUCCACGAGUUCAUUCUUUGCUCCAUUCUUGGAGUUCGCACCAGCCAACUCUGUGUUUUAGACCAAACAAAAAAACCUCCAUUAAAAUUGCAAGGUCAGACAUAAGCUAUGAAAUGCCAGAAUUAAUUUUGCUGGUAUAUCCCUACUUUGUCUGCAUUGUGCUUAUGCAUUAUAAUGCCAUAAUUUACAUAAUCGCAAACUGCUUCUGGGAAAUGAAGUGGUUUUGCAGCGCUGGCUGUGGGCCCUGGCCUUGUUUGCUGUGGAAGGUGUACUGUGGACAAGGCAGGGGAAUUUGGGAUGGUGGUUCUGGAGUUGCACACAGUCUUCAUUCUUGUGUUGUCGAACACUUCAGACUUAAGAGCUUGACUUUGCAAGCUCACUAUUCUUUUCAACAGAUUUUAUGUGUAAUGUAGAACAUGUUCCAACACAGUCUGAGGUUUAUUUAUUGCUUUUCUUGUUAGAAGAAGGAAAAAAACUGGUCCAAGUGGGAAUUUUCUCCUAUAAAACCGAAAAAUCAGCAAAAAUGUCUUAAGAUCUCGGCUUGGUUGAAAUCUUGUUGAGAUUUAAAUUAACUGAACUUCUGAAAGGAGCUUCAAAUAAAAUUGGGUUGUUGUUUGAUAGAACUGCCUGUGCUUCAUCUGUUCUGCAAUUCCAUCAGCACCAAUCCUAAGACAAAUUUGUUCAAGUCCAAAGUGUCCCAGAACAUGAGCACCACCUAGAUUUAGUGCAUUUUAACCAAAUCUAUCAAAGUCACUAUGGAACUAGAGCCUUUCCUUGGCUGGAGCAGCCUGAUCCCAUGGGAGGAUACAGCGUGAGAGUUCUCAGCAGCAGAACAGAGUCCACCAGAAGUUCUACUUCUCCAAAUAUAACCUGAGCUAUCCUUAGGUCCUGCAGACUCUUAGCCAUGUAGCUCAGUUGACGCAUCAUUAUAGAAAGGCUGCUUAUGAGAAAAAUGAUGUACUCUCAGGUCAUAUGGCAAUGGGGCUUUAACUCUUAUCUGUAAUGAUAACGAUAAGCUAGACAUAUCUUUCCUGUAGGAGGUAGGUAAUAUUCAUGGAUCAUUUUGCAGUCAAUAAAACAAUAUGCUUUUGAUAAUUGCUUUAAGUUGCCAGUAACUUGUUAGUCAAAUUUCUUUUGGAUUCUUUUUCAUUUUAGAGUGCCCAAAAGCAGUCAACACAUAUUAUUAUGGAGUGUUCAAAAAAAUAUAUGUAGCCAUAUGAACAUGCAUAUGUAGAAGUAGAAUUAAUUAGAAAAAUAUUAUUUGGCUUCUU
Non-coding RNA from Meleagris gallopavo (turkey), 9551 nucleotides. NCBI's taxonomy places the organism in Eukaryota, Metazoa, Chordata, Aves, Galliformes, Phasianidae. The record is from RefSeq and is a predicted model, not a curated record.